This 443-nucleotide ribosomal RNA is filed under the name uncultured bacterium. Its description in RNAcentral is "partial 16S ribosomal RNA". It matches the Rfam family "Bacterial small subunit ribosomal RNA", at positions 338 to 795 of the family's 1533-position model. The record is from RNAcentral.
CCUACGGGGUGCAGCAAUGGGGAAUAUUGCACAAUGGGGGAAACCCUGAUGCAGCAACGCCGCGUGAAGGAAGACGGUUUUCGGAUUGUAAACUUCUAUCAAUAGGGAAGAAAGACAUGACGGUACCUAAAUCAGAAGCCCCGGCUAACUACGUGCCAGCAGCCGCGGUAAUACGUAGGGGGCAAGCGUUAUCCGGAAUUACUGGGUGUAAAGGGAGAGUAGGCGGCAAGGUAAGCGAUAUGUGAAAGCCUUAAGCUUAACUUAAGGAUGGCAUAACGAACUAUCUAGCUAGAGUACAGGAGAGGAAAGCGGAAGUCCUAGUGUAGCGGUGAAAUGCGUAGAUAUUAGGAAGAACACCAGUGGCGAAGGCGGCUUUCUGGACUGAAACUGACGCUGAGGCUCGAAAGCGUGGGGAGCGAACAGGAUGAGAUACCCCUGUAGUC